CAGAGACUGCAAGCGUUAUUCGGAUUCACUGGGCGUAAAGGGUGCGCAGGCGGCCAAGUGUGUGAGGCGUGAAAGCCUGGAGCUUAACUCCAGAAUUGCACCUCAAACUACAUGGCUAGAGCAUUGGAGAGGGUAGCGGAAUUCACGGUGUAGCAGUGAAAUGCGUAGAUAUCGUGAGGAACACCAGAGGCGAAGGCGGCUACCUGGACAAUUGCUGACGCUCAGGCACGAAAGCGUGGGGAGCAAAAGGGAUUAGAUACCCCUGUAGUCCACGCCCUAAGCGGUGCACACUAGGUCUUGGCGGAUUCGACCCCACCAGGGCCCAAGCUAACGCGUUAAGUGUGCCGCCUGAGGACUACGGCCGCAAGGCUA
RNAcentral lists this ribosomal RNA (372 nucleotides) under uncultured organism. Its description in RNAcentral is "bacterial SSU rRNA". It matches the Rfam family "Bacterial small subunit ribosomal RNA", at positions 526 to 896 of the family's 1533-position model. The record is from RNAcentral.